This is a non-coding RNA of Apaloderma vittatum (bar-tailed trogon), 82 nucleotides long. Lineage: Eukaryota; Metazoa; Chordata; Aves; Trogoniformes; Trogonidae. The record is from Rfam.
GGCCAGUUAGCUCAGUGGUUUGAGCGCGGUGUUGACAACAAUGGCAACACCAAGGUUGCGGGUUCGAUUCCCGCUCGGUCCC